RNAcentral lists this ribosomal RNA (247 nucleotides) under uncultured bacterium. RNAcentral's name for it is "partial 16S ribosomal RNA". It matches the Rfam family "Bacterial small subunit ribosomal RNA", at positions 524 to 769 of the family's 1533-position model. The record is from RNAcentral.
UACGUAGGGUGCAAGCGUUGUCCGGAAUUAUUGGGCGUAAAGAGCUCGUAGGCGGUUUGUCGCGUCUGCUGUGAAAACCCGAGGCUCAACCUCGGGCCUGCAGUGGGUACGGGCAGACUAGAGUGCGGUAGGGGAGAUUGGAAUUCCUGGUGUAGCGGUGGAAAUGCGCAGAUAUCAGGAGGAACACCAAUGGCGAAGGCAGAUCUCUGGGCCGUAACUGACGCUGAGGAGCGAAAGCAUGGGGAGC